This 253-nucleotide ribosomal RNA is filed under the name uncultured bacterium. RNAcentral's name for it is "partial 16S ribosomal RNA". It matches the Rfam family "Bacterial small subunit ribosomal RNA", at positions 524 to 776 of the family's 1533-position model. The record is from RNAcentral.
UACGUAGGGUGCAAGCGUUGUCCGGAAUUAUUGGGCGUAAAGAGCUCGUAGGCGGUUUGUCGCGUCGAAUGUGAAAACCCGGGGCUCAACCCCGGGCCUGCAUUCGAUACGGGCAGACUAGAGUUCGGUAGGGGAGUCUGGAAUUCCUGGUGUAGCGGUGAAAUGCGCAGAUAUCAGGAGGAACACCGGUGGCGAAGGCGGCGACCUGGUCCGACACUGACGCUGAGGCGCGAAAGCGUGGGGAGCAAACAGG